AGAAGUGAUAGAUGGAAUGGAGAUAAGAAGUGGAAAUUAGUGUCCUUUUGGAGAUACUUGCUUUUGCUGAGCCCAUAGACAUAUUAACUCCUCCAAGGUCCUGGAGGAAGUACUGGACACACCUCAAGGGACUACACAGGAGAUGAAGGCAGAGUGAAGACGCAGAGGCAGGACCUGGGCACAUGCCUUUAUUAAGGUACCCAGCAAGAAGGAAAGACAAGGAAGUAAAAAGAACUCUAAAAACUACCAACAAUUUUAAUUUGGAUAUCUUCAAUGUAAUUAACACAGGAUGCCUAUUCCAGAUAUAAACAGAGAGAUGAUUGCCUGACCAAAGUUCUGGAAAGCAGAUGUGUUGCUCGAAGGGUACAAAAUGUGGAUGUGUAUUGUGCUACCAGGCUGUCAAAGAUGAAGAGAUCAAUCAAUAGAACCCAAACUGAGUGCAUUCUCUGUGUGGCAGAAGAAAAUUACAUACAAAAGGAGUUAGGGAAUUGUUGUAAAAGCACAGGAAUGAGAUUAGUAGCUAAUCUAUUAUAGCUAUGAGACUUUUAAAAACAUAUUAGGGAAAUACAAAGGCAUAAUCAGAUGACUAAAGAUAAUGACAUACAAUUUUCAAGGGAGUUAAACACAUGAAACUCU
Prionailurus viverrinus (fishing cat) is the source of this 636-nucleotide long non-coding RNA. RefSeq lists it as uncharacterized. Lineage: Eukaryota; Metazoa; Chordata; Mammalia; Carnivora; Felidae. The transcript has 4 exons. The record is from RefSeq and is a predicted model, not a curated record.